GUUCCUCCCCUACCAUGACGAACCCUAGAUUGCUUUGGCCUGUCAUCUCCCCCUUUCUACCAACUCUGAAGUACAAGUCACGCUCUUCUGAUUUAUUCAUCUUUCUUCCAAAGUUUUCUUCAUCUUCACUUCAAUCCGAAACCCUAACUGUGAUGCCGUGUUUUCGUUCAACUUUCCAUCCCCUUUUCACCAACCCAUCAAUUGUGUCCUAUCAGAUUGAUGUGAUGAUGGUUUGAUUUUGGCCGCUGGUUGAUGUUUGCCUCACAAUUUCUUUGCCGCCGUUUAUGGUCUUACCAUUCACAUCUCUACAUCUCAAACCAUCCCAUGUUCAUGCGUCAUUCCUUCUCCUGCAAAACUGAAAUUGUAGGUUUGAAUGCAUCAACAAAGGUUGACUCUCUAAUCAAAUGGUCAAUGUCAAUCCAAGGCUCCAUUAAUUAUCUCCAUUGUGUUGUAUAUAUUUUGAGGUACUUAGAGGUGGUCAGGUUGCAUCAGCCGUUAGCACUACUGAUCAUCAUGCUGGAAAUUUUGAAGCCAAAUUUUAUGAUAUGAUUCUUCAAGAAGAAUUUAGGGAUGUGAAAGGGCAUUCUGGACUGAUUAAUGUUAUGGCCUUUAUUCAGUUGUUGUUCAAUUUUCUUCUUUAUGAGUGUUUGAUGCAAUAAUAGCUCAUGGAUCUCUCACAAAACAAGGAGUAGAAGCAAGCAUUGAGAAAAAGCAUUGUAAGGGAACUUGCUGAUGAUUUGAGAGCUCAUAUAAUAUCUUCCUACAUGAAAAUCAUGGAAGAAAGACCUGCAUUAUCUGACCCUGUCAGUGAUGGACAUGUUUUAGUGCAGUUUUAUGGAAAUAAUGGGAUUGUUUACCAGGAAUGGACAUUAUGUGUCUUUCACUCUAAGGAGUUGCAAUGUCAAAAUAAAAUUUUGAUUUGUUAAGGGAAGAUAUGGUGACAAAGAAUGAAGCAGAUUGUAGAAAACUAAAGGCGUCGUGAAAGUCCUCAAAGUUUUGGGAACUGCAUAGAAGCUUCGAAGAAGGAUAGGCAGUAUCUUCGCUACCAAAUAGAAGUUGAGUGAAAGUUAAAAGAUUUAACAUUUUCCAGUGAAAAUGAGAUGCUUAAAGACACUGCAAUCUUCUCAAGAUCAUAAUUGUCAUCUCAAGUGUUGAUCUUCAAGUCAGUUUCUUCUGAAAACCAUGCUCAAAUUUGGUGUUAGAUUCCUUCUCUUGAAGGCUGCAUAUAAUGUUCCAUUUCUGAUGCGUAGAAAUACUAUACCCAAAUUGGAGCUUUCAUCUCCACCCAAAUCAAAUAUCAUUCAUUCCAAUCACUAAACGACAUGAUGGCCUUCUUGCUGGCUCUGAAACAACUGCAGACUUUACUUCCUCAAUGCAUUCUCUUCUUGUGAAUACAAUGGACCUCACUAAGCCUAAAAUUUAAGAAAUGAUGAUGGUGACCUUUCCAUUCAUUUAACAGCAAUGGUUCUAAACCAUAUAGGUACGCUACUGUUGGACAGAAUGACAAGACAAUCACAAUCCAAAUGCAACAAAUAACUACAUUUUUUUUUUGCACUUAUCACAGCAACCUACUGCUCAAAGGAAUUUCAACCCUGCAAGAGAAUUGUAUUCAAUAUUGUGGUAUGGCUUUAGCACGAUGGAACUAACACAUGGAAAAAAAUACAACCUAAAAGCGCUCCUCCUUUUACGGCUCUUUUUGUUUUCACAGUCUAGAUCAUUAGAUGUGAAAGAAAAUAUUUGCAUUAUAAAAUGUAGCCCUGAAUCACUUAUCAAGCUCUUAAAGUACUAAAAAUUCAAAUUUGACAUCACUAUUUUAUUACUGAAGUCCUUUCCUAAUGAUACAUUGAUGAACGAGAAAGAGUAUCUAUGUCCUAAAAGUAAAAUUGGUUAUUGUUAUUAUGUCUUUUUAAUUUGAAAUUAAAAAGGCUCCUCAAGAACAUUGUCUUCAAGGAAGUUUUCCAAAAAAAUUACAAGGAUUAGUUUGUAUGAUUUCCUAAUUUUUUUCUCUAAAGUUGGGUGCUAAUUCAAUUAACCAACAUUUGAGCAACAUAUAUUAUAUACCUUAUUCGUACCUCUUUGUAUUUAUUAUUUGUUUAUCUUUUACAUGUAAGAUUGCGCUGGAGAUUACACCACAAGUUCAUAUUAACCGUAAAGGGCGAACCAAACUUAAUAUUGUAGAGUUAUCCAAUUAAUGUCCAUAAGUAAGAUGAAAUAUCGAGACAAAACGAAAGAUAAUAACAACAUAUAAGUGUUUUACUAAUUAAAAUUAUAUGUUUUAGUAAAUAUAUCAUAUUAUUUCAUAUAUAUCAAACACUAAGUAAUUAAUUAAUAGUCAAAAGAAAAAACACACAAUGGUAAUAAUUAACAAUUGAUUUGAGUAAAAAUUAUCUGUGCAUCGCACGGACAAACGGGUAUAAAACUAGUAUAAUAUAUAGUAACACUCAUUUUUCACUGUACUCUUAUGUUUAUACAUAAUAUAGGUGGGUGUAAUUCACAUGAACAUAACUUUUCUAUUGAGUAAUCAUUCAAUCACAUCUUAUUUUCUCUCUCAUUUCAUUUACACACGUUUUUCUUCUUAUAUCUUUCUACAUUUUCUGUUCCAUGAAAUAUCAUUUCACUCAUUUAUCUAUUUUUUUUCAUAUUUAUCCAAGGUGGAAGGGAGAUGAGAAGGGAAACAAAACAUUAUUCCUUCCAUUUCAUUAUUGUUUGAGUUGGCAUGUGAACAGUGAAUAUGAGCGCUGAGAGCCAAAGGAGAGGGAUGAGAGUCAGAGCGUUGUCAAAUCACACACACCAACCAAUGCUGCUACUGGGACGGCUUAGCUGAUAUGUGGCUGCGCCCAAAGUGAAUCCAAAGCACAAGAAAAAGUGCAAAUGAGUCAUCAAAAAUUAUAAAGUGUUAAAACUAUCAUGCAUUUUAUCUUUCUUUAAUAUUUGAUCAAUUCCUUUUGCAAGUGUUUCGAAGACUCUGCAUAUGCACAUCUUACCCCAUUAGUGCAUCUUUGUAAAGGAAUAUUUAAUUUUGGGAAAAAAUUAAAUUAACUUUUAUGAUUAA
Lotus japonicus is the source of this 3052-nucleotide long non-coding RNA. RefSeq lists it as uncharacterized. Lineage: Eukaryota; Viridiplantae; Streptophyta; Magnoliopsida; Fabales; Fabaceae. The transcript is spliced from 11 exons. The record is from RefSeq and is a predicted model, not a curated record.